GACAGAGGGUGCAAACGUUGUUCGGAAUUACUGGGCGUAAAGCGCGUGUAGGCGGCCCUGCAAGUCAGUUGUGAAAUCUCCGGGCUUAACUCGGAAAGGUCAACUGAUACUGUGCGACUAGAGUGCGGAAGGGGCAACUGGAAUUCUUGGUGUAGCGGUGAAAUGCGUAGAUAUCAAGAGGAACACCUGCGGCGAAGGCGGGUUGCUGGGCCGACACUGACGCUGAGGCGCGAAAGCCAGGGGAGCGAACGGG
This 253-nucleotide ribosomal RNA is filed under the name uncultured bacterium. RNAcentral's name for it is "partial 16S ribosomal RNA". It matches the Rfam family "Bacterial small subunit ribosomal RNA", at positions 524 to 776 of the family's 1533-position model. The record is from RNAcentral.